GACGAACGCUGGCGGCGUGCUUAACACAUGCAAGUCGAACGGAAAGGCCCCUUUGGGGGUCCUCGAGUGGCGAACGGGUGAGUAACACGUGAGUAACCUGCCCUUGCCUUCGGGAUAACUUCAGGAAACUGGGGCUAAUACCGGAUAGGAAUCAUUGCUGCAUGGUGGGGGUUGGAAAGCUUCGGCGGUUUUGGAUGGACUCGCGGCUUAUCAGCUUGUUGGUGGGGUAGUGGCUUACCAAGGCUUUGACGGGUAGCCGGCCUGAGAGGGCGACCGGCCACAUUGGGACUGAGGUACGGCCCAGACUCCUACGGGUGGCAGCAGUGGGGAAUAUUGCACGAUGGGCGGAAGCCUGAUGCAGCAACGCCGCGUGCGGGAUGACGGCCUUCGGGUUGUAAACCGCUUUCAGCAGGGGCGAAGCUUGUGGUGACGGUACCUGCAGAAGAAGCACCGGCUAACUACGUG
Molecule: ribosomal RNA, 465 nt
Filed under: uncultured bacterium
Lineage: Bacteria
Description: partial 16S ribosomal RNA
Rfam family: Bacterial small subunit ribosomal RNA
Source: RNAcentral